RNAcentral lists this ribosomal RNA (455 nucleotides) under uncultured microorganism. RNAcentral describes it as "bacterial SSU rRNA". It matches the Rfam family "Bacterial small subunit ribosomal RNA", at positions 346 to 795 of the family's 1533-position model. The record is from RNAcentral.
CGGCUGCAGUGCUGAAUUAUUCGCUAAUGCGCGAAAGCGUGACGGUGCGACGCCGCGUGCGGGACGAAGGCCUUCGGGUUGUAAACCGCUGUCAGUAUCUAGGAAACCACAGUCGUUAAUAGCGGCUGUGCUGACCAGAUACAAAGGAAGCACAGGCUAAUCUCGUGCCAGCAGCCGCGGUAAUACGAGAUGUGCGAGCGUUGUUCGGAAUUACUGGGCAUAAAGGGUGCGUAGGCGGCCUAUUAAGUCAGUUGUGAAAUCCCACGGCUCAACCGUGGAACUGCUUCUGAUACUGGUAGGCUUGAGGACGAAAGGGGCAAGCGGAAUUCCAGGUGUAGCGGUGGAAUGCGUAGAUAUCUGGGAGAACGCCAAAAGCGAAGGCAGCUUGCUGGGUCGUUUCUGACGCUGAGGCACGAAAGCUAGGGGAGCAAACAGGAUUAGAUACCCGUGUAGUC